GGAAAACAUCUCACAGUUGACAGAAGUGACAACCCUGCCCCAAUACUGUCACAUAAGUAUUAAAGAUAGCAACCCCGACAACUACAAGCCUGCCCUCGGCACAUCGACACACCACCAUCCAAAGCAUCAAUCCAGCACAGCAACACUGACAAACAGCGGCUGCAGGUCCUCAGAGGGAGAGCCCAGCCAGGAGAUGGAGUUUCACUCUCAGCACCUUCACUGAAGAUGAUUUGGAAAAGAAUACAUCAACUCAGAGGUCCACUUUAGACUUAGUUCAUGCAAUCAAAUGCACAUUAAUGAUUUAAAAUGCUACAAAGGGAUUUUCUUUGUUCCAUUCUGUCUGUCACAGAUGAAGUGUACCUAUGAUAAAGACUGCAGACCUCUCCAUCUUUGCAGGUGGGAGAACUUCAGCAGUGUCUAAAUACUGAUUUCUACGGUGGCCCUGAGAGGCCAAAUGCACUGCAGUGUAAGAAAACAGCAGCUGCAGCUACAGCUGCAGACCCUGAACACUGCACAGGAAAGUCAGUUCUUUGAGUACCGUGAAGGAAAAGAGGCAGAAAGAAGGAUGUUCUGAAAAUGCAAAAAGAAAUCAAACAGUGAAGACGGGCCUGAGGCCCAAAGAAGGAAAACACUACCAUUAAAUGUUGGGGCAAGUCGGUGGUCUGAGAAACUUUUGGGUGCUGCCGUUAAAAAAGUGAAAGAUUCCAACCAAGAUGUGGAAGCUGGAGAAAACGUCCUGCUGUGCCCUGAUGGCUCUCAGGGAAAAAUACUCCUGACACACCUUUUACAGUUCAGCUCUCCAAAGAGGCUGCUGGAAAAGCUCAGCAAAGAAGGACACUGUUUGUCUGCACCCUGAGGGCUUCAUGUCACAAAGUGAGCAUUAAAUAGAACUGGCACCAUUGGAGUUCUCUCUUUUACUGUCUCUAUUGUCUCAUUUCUUUCUUUCUGUGAUCAGUGCUUUAGUUUGGAACCAAAGUUAAAGUUUGCAGCCAGCGUGAUGAACAGCACUGAACUGUAACUGUGAUCAUCAAAUAUUCUGUAA
Long non-coding RNA from Archocentrus centrarchus (flier cichlid), 1042 nucleotides. RefSeq lists it as uncharacterized. The transcript has 4 exons. The record is from RefSeq and is a predicted model, not a curated record. NCBI's taxonomy places the organism in Eukaryota, Metazoa, Chordata, Actinopteri, Cichliformes, Cichlidae.